GUUAAAGAAGAACACGUAUGAGAGUAACUGUUCAUACGUUGACGGUAUUUACCAGAAAGUCACGGCUAACUACGUGCCAGCAGCCGCGGUAAUACGUAGGUGGCAAGCGUUAUCCGGAUUUAUUGGGCGUAAAGAGAGUGCAGGCGGUUUUCUAAGUCUGAUGUGAAAGCCUUCGGCUUAACCGGAGAAGUGCAUCGGAAACUGGAUAACUUGAGUGCAGAAGAGGGUAGUGGAACUCCAUGUGUAGCGGUGGAAUGCGUAGAUAUAUGGAAGAACACCAGUGGCGAAGGCGGCUACCUGGUCUGCAACUGACGCUGAGACUCGAAAGCAUGGGUAGCGAACAGGAUUAGAUACCCUGGUAG
This 362-nucleotide ribosomal RNA is filed under the name uncultured bacterium. RNAcentral describes it as "bacterial SSU rRNA". It matches the Rfam family "Bacterial small subunit ribosomal RNA", at positions 438 to 793 of the family's 1533-position model. The record is from RNAcentral.